GCUUGGCCGACUGGACGCUCGUGCGGUAUUUGACCUCCUGGAUGAUGGCACGGAGCUCCUCGGGGGCUUUGGGAAGCAAAGAAAACGCUUACAGUACUGCCCAUAUUUUAGUCCCUGGGCCAGCAGGGGGCAGCACAGAGCUCCUGCAGGAAUCCGGAUCCGGUGUUGCAGCGGCCCAGGAAGGCAUCCGGCCCGGACGCCUCCGUGGAGCUGUCCCAGCUGUCCAAGUUUCUCCUACCGCUGUACGUGUCGUACAGCUCCACGAGCAGGCAGUCCACGAUGGACGUCCUCGGGGUGGUCGCGUCGGGGUCGCUGUUGUCGGACGCAGCAGGGUCUGGCGGCGAGGGUGACGUUGGAGGCGGGGAACCACUGCGGGAGCCGCCAGACGAGCCAGCCGGACCGAUCCACCGCUGGAAGCCGGAGAAGUCGUCCGAGCUAACCAAACUGUCGCAUAUGUCAACUCCCAAAAGUUGCACCUCGGACGCCAUGGCUGAAGUUGGACGAGCGACUUUGUGCACGCACGAUUUGGAAGUUUUGCUUAAGUUGUGGGCUCGCUCAUCGCUCCGUGCAAACUUUUCACACUUCCUUCCUCAAGCCACGCAAUUGGCCGGCCCACAUUCAGGCCAACGAACUCUGCCAAAGUUCGGCUGGUGCGACAGGUGCGACAGCUUUGAUCGACCAAUCAGAGUGCAGCUCCUAAAGACAUGAACGCGACCAAUCAGAGGCCAGAUCCCCAAAGUGCAAAAGAGACCAUUCCAGUUUGUUCCUUGCGGCCACGUUGACAUUUCUUCCAAUUCUUGGUGCAUGGGCGUAGGUUUAUAUUGGUAUGGCAGGGACAUAUCACAACCAAUAUUUGAGGAAUACAAAAUAGUCCCUGACUAUAUUUACAAUUUUAUUUUAAUCCAGCAAAAAUCUAAGGUUUAGAAAUGUAUGAGAAUUAAAUUGAUUUGUUGAAAUAUAUCUACAUUUAUGUUUUAAAAUGAGUUAUACUUAUCCAAAUAAAAAAAAUAAAAAAAAAAACAGCCAUGAGGUGUACCUAAUAACAGUUCUUUAGUUUGGAACUGUGGAAAAAAAAAAGUCUCCACUCUCAGUCAUGGUUGUACAGGUCAUAUUUUAUUCCAUGUGUGCUUUACAGGGUUAUAAAUAAUGGCAUAAAAUUACAAAAAUCAGCGUGCUGGAAGCUCCAAGCCUAUAUACAUGAAUGUCACUCCAAAUACAUUACCUAUAGAAUCAUCUAGCACGUGUCUUCCUUUUUGUCUUUGUUUAGCUUUUGUUUCCAUUGCCACAAACGCUCGGUCCAUCUUUUACAUUACAGCUAUCAACAAUGAGUUGGCAAAAUAUUUAUGUACAUUUCAGAGCCUUGGAUCUUAUACGUACAGUAGUAGAACAAAGUCCGGAGAGGUGGGACGGAGGUCUGCACAUUCACGCUUCCUUUUGUGUAUUUGUUUUUUAAAGGAGGAGGGGGGCGGCCAGCAAUCUCAAA
Molecule: long non-coding RNA, 1483 nt
Organism: Syngnathus typhle (broad-nosed pipefish)
Lineage: Eukaryota; Metazoa; Chordata; Actinopteri; Syngnathiformes; Syngnathidae
Exons: 2
Source: RefSeq, a predicted model, not a curated record